RNAcentral lists this long non-coding RNA (1365 nucleotides) under Bemisia tabaci. RNAcentral describes it as "lncRNA ENSSSA2NGG001773". Lineage: Eukaryota; Metazoa; Arthropoda; Insecta; Hemiptera; Aleyrodidae. The record is from RNAcentral.
CCACUAUGAGUAAAGGGAUUUUACAGCUUUUGCACUGUGCAACCUGUACAAGAAUGUAAACAUAACCAUGGCUCCGAUUCUGAGAUAAUAAUACCUUAUCUGUAUUUCGUUUUGUCUUACUGACCUAUCUUUCCUGAAAUUCAAUUUUUCGUGACAAUCUUAUCUUCUAGUUCUCUCGUACAUGAAUGAGCAUCAGAAGGAAAUUAUUCCUCGCUGUUUAGUGAACUCCGGUCAGUGAUCUCCAUGUUUAUGUGUAUGCCCUAGAAGGUACAGCCUCUGAAAGUGUUCUGAUGAAUUUUUAAGAUGGAAAGCGAAAAAGUUGAAAAAGAACUGUGCAGUAAUCUUCUGAAAUGGCUUCAGACAUUUCAGUUGAGCGCCCCGCACAGCAAACUGCAUGAGAUAACUGAUGGUGUGGCCAUUGCGCAAGCAUUGCAUCAAAUGUAUGUAUUUAUUCACUCUAAUUUUUGCUUUUCAGAAGCAUUUUAAUAUAACAUAGUAUGCUCUCUUGAUUUUCCUCACGUGCAGCAUUUUUUUUGCAGCACAAAGGUAGCCUGGUUAUGCUAUGGUUAGCCUAUCUUACGUGGUUAUGAGAUACAGAGUUUCAAAAAUUGUGAUUUACAUGGGAAUUAAUGGGUCAGAUGUGCAGUUUUCCCCUGAUAUCUUGAAAAGACUAAAAUGGAGUCAGGUACUUAUUGGCUCUGGGGUACUGAUAUUUAAAGAUCAAUUAUAAUAGAGUUUUAUUCUCUUAUUAAAUGCUCUUCAAAAAUGGCCCAAUUUUUCUUACUUGUCAUUCCAUGCCUCCAAAAAAUCUUACUCUUAAAUUCUAAUCCACCAUUCAGUUCGCAAGUUACAUGUAAUUAUCUAUCUGUUCUAAACUCUAAGGCUAAUCGUUUUAGUCAUCACCGACUACUGAACUAAUUUUUAUUUUAUUUUUCCUAUGCAAUGAGAAUUCAUGAGCUGUCUGUGUGCCAGGAUCCUUACCUUUCUCAAAAUUAUCAAAGUGUACCGUAUUGGUGCAAUUUCUCCUGAAGAGUGUGUAAUCCCCAAGUUGACUCAAAACCAAGCCAACUGAGCUGUCAUAAUCAUUACUCUCUCGCUCCCCUAGGGUAGAGGAAGUAUUGUCAUCCUGUUUCUUUUCUCUUACUCUGUUGCUUAAGAUUUGUAAUCGCAUUUGUUGUAAUGCUUACCAUCCUUAUUUCAGAGCCCUGAGUGGUUUGAUGAUGCCUGGCUUUCAAAAAUCAAAGUUGACGUUGGCAGUAAUUGGCGACUGAAGGUAAUACCUGGUUCUUUUUUUGCAAUGGGCAACUCGACUGGGGUUGCAAAGAAUAAGGAAAAACACUAAGAAACCACCUUGUUACGAAGAAU